RNAcentral lists this transfer RNA (65 nucleotides) under Chaetoderma nitidulum. RNAcentral's name for it is "tRNA-Pro". The record is from RNAcentral. Lineage: Eukaryota; Metazoa; Mollusca; Caudofoveata; Chaetodermatida; Chaetodermatidae.
CAAAUAAUAGUUAAUUUAUAACGUUAGUAUUGGAAACUAUCAUUCACAACAUCUGUGUUAUUUGA